RNAcentral lists this ribosomal RNA (490 nucleotides) under uncultured bacterium. RNAcentral describes it as "bacterial SSU rRNA". It matches the Rfam family "Bacterial small subunit ribosomal RNA", at positions 17 to 507 of the family's 1533-position model. The record is from RNAcentral.
CAUGGGCUCAGGAUGAACGCUAGCGGGCAGGCCUAAUCAUGCAAGUCGAACGGUAAGGCCCUUUGGGGGUACACGAGUGGCGGACGGGUGCGUAACGCGUAUGGCAACAUACCUUCAAGCGGGGGAUAUGGCCAGGGAAACUUGGUGCAACACCCCAUAGCAUUUCGGGACCGCAUGGUCUUGGGAUUAAAUAUUUAUAGCCUUGGAGAUUGGCAUGCGUGACAUUAGCUAGUUGGCGGGGUAACGGCCCACCAAGGCGACGAUGUCUAGCUGGUCUGAGAGGAUGAUCAGCCACACUGGGACUGAGACACGGCCCAGACUCCUACGGGAGGCAGCAGUAGGGAAUAUUGGACAAUGGGGGAACCCUGAUCCAGCCAUGCCGCGUGAGGGAAGAAGGUCCUCUGGAUUGUAAACCUCUUUUGGCGGGGACAAACCUGCACUAUACGUGCAGCUGAGGGUACCCGCAGAAUAAGCACCGGCUAACUCCGUG